AAUCAACGCUGGCGGCGUGCCUAACACAUGCAAGUCGAACGCGAAAAGGGCUUCGGCUCUUAGUAGAGUGGCAAACGGGUGAGUAACACGUGGGUGACCUACCUUCGAAUGGGGGAUAACGUCCCGAAAGGGACGCUAAUACCGCACAACAUCCUGCCUUUGAACAGGUGGAGAUCAAAGCCGGGGAUCGCAAGACCUGGCGUUUGAAGAGGGGCCCGCGUCUGAUUAGCUAGNGGUGAGGUAACGGCUCACCAAGGCGACGAUCAGUAUCCGGCCUGAGAGGGCGGACGGACACACUGGGACUGAGACACGGCCCAGACUCCUACGGGAGGCAGCAGGUGGGGAAUUGUUCGCAAUGGGCGCAAGCCUGACGACGCAACGCCGCGUGGAGGAUGAAGGUCUUCGGAUU
This 409-nucleotide ribosomal RNA is filed under the name uncultured bacterium. RNAcentral's name for it is "bacterial SSU rRNA". It matches the Rfam family "Bacterial small subunit ribosomal RNA", at positions 32 to 424 of the family's 1533-position model. The record is from RNAcentral.